UACGGGGGGGGCAAGCGUUGUUCGGAAUUACUGGGCGUAAAGGGCUCGUAGGUGGCCAACUAAGUCAGACGUGAAAUCCCUCAGCUUAACUGGGGAACUGCGUCUGAUACUGGAUGGCUUGAGAUUGGGAGAGGGAUGCGGAAUUCCAGGUGUAGCGGUGAAAUGCGUAGAUAUCGGGAGGAACACCAGUGGCGAAGGCGAUCACCUGGGGUUGUUCUGACGCUGAUGAGCGAAAGCUAGGGGAGCAAACGGG
Molecule: ribosomal RNA, 253 nt
Filed under: uncultured bacterium
Lineage: Bacteria
Description: partial 16S ribosomal RNA
Rfam family: Bacterial small subunit ribosomal RNA
Source: RNAcentral